This 468-nucleotide ribosomal RNA is filed under the name uncultured bacterium. Its description in RNAcentral is "partial 16S ribosomal RNA". It matches the Rfam family "Bacterial small subunit ribosomal RNA", at positions 28 to 507 of the family's 1533-position model. The record is from RNAcentral.
GACGAACGCUGGCGGCGUGCUUAACACAUGCCAGUCGAACGGAAAGGCCCUGCGUUUGUGGGGUGCUCGAGUGGCGAACGGGUGAGUAACACGUGAGUAACCUGCCCUUGACUUUGUGAUAACUUCAGGAAACUGGGGCUAAUACCGGAUAGGAGCUCCUGCUGCAUGGUGGUGGUUGGAAAGUUUCGGCGGUGGGGGAUGGACUCGCGGGUUAUCAGCUUGUUUGUGGGGUAGUGGCUUACCAAGGCUUUGACGGGUAGCCGGCAUGAGAGGGUGACCGGCCACAUGGGGACUGAGAUACGGACCAGAAGCCUACGGGAGGCAGUAGUGGGGAGUCUUGCACAAUGGGCGGAAGCCUGAUGCAGAAACGCCGGGAGCGGGAUGACCGCCUUCGGGUUGUAAACAGAUUUCGCAUGUGACGAAGCGUGAGUGACGGUAAUGGGUAAAAAAGCACCGGCUAACUACGUG